Bubalus bubalis (water buffalo) is the source of this 679-nucleotide long non-coding RNA. RefSeq lists it as uncharacterized. Lineage: Eukaryota; Metazoa; Chordata; Mammalia; Artiodactyla; Bovidae. The record is from RefSeq and is a predicted model, not a curated record. The transcript has 2 exons.
UACAUAAAAGGCUGUACAAGAAAGUAAACUGUCAUUGAGCCUUACAAACAGUUUUCAUCUCAAUUAUCUCAAAGUCAGGAGAGAAGGCUAUCCUAAGCUUCCAAAAGAUAAUUCAAUUAGCAUGAAGUUCCAAGAAUUUUCAAAGCUCAGAUGGGCAGUUGCUGACUCAGGUUUUUUUGUUUUUGUUUUGUUUUUUUCUCCUAGGAAUCAGAAAUGUCAUUCACAGAUAAGUGCAGGGAGGAACAAAACAGAAAGACAGGAAAUUCUUGGCUCUGGGAUCUGGUAAUAAGGGAGUCUGCCACUUUCAAAUUACCUGCUGGAAUCCGGCUCAAGACAAUUAUAGAUGAAAAAUCUUCUUGGUCUUCAGCCACCUACCCAAAAUUGAUGUUGGUUUUAAACUUCCUAAAGUUGGAGCAACAAUUUUCAUGACUUAGGGUGAGGACAUAUCUGACCAGUUGAUGAAGAAUAGAGCGUGUGGAAGAUAAAGGAGCAACAACCACUCUCAGCUUCUACCUGCCCCUGGGCUGAUGAAGGAGCCUGUAUCAGACUGGAGGGACCUACUCUCACCCAGCUACAGAUGGUGAUUAUCCCUCAUCACCUGACUUUACACCCACUAUCCCCCAAACGCUGGAUUCAGCUGCAAUUGAGAAGAGGCCAAGAUAAACUCCUCUGCCUUAUA